This 368-nucleotide long non-coding RNA is filed under the name Panax ginseng (ginseng). RNAcentral's name for it is "long non-coding RNA (PGIN_LNC005432)". Lineage: Eukaryota; Viridiplantae; Streptophyta; Magnoliopsida; Apiales; Araliaceae. The record is from RNAcentral.
UGAAUAGUGCCGUAUAUGUGAAUAGUACUGUAUACGUGAAUAGUGCCGUAUACGUGAAUAGUAAUCCCGACACAAAAAGGUAGAAAUUCCACAAUAAUAUUCAUAUCAAUAUUCUCGGUAUAAUGAUAUUGAAAGAAAUAAUAUCAUUUUACGAAGAAAAUAGCAUUCCUUACCAUCCCUUACUAUCCCUUACAAUCCCAUAAAAUCCCUUACUAUCCCUUACCUCAAAAGAGCAGCACUUCUGACUGGAUAUCGGAUAUGACGCUGAAGGAAACUUCCACUGAUGAAUAUCAACUCACCAAGUAUCUAAAUACUCACAAAAUACACUCAAUAAUCUAGAGAGAGAAAGAGAGAAAACUUGUUUCUGG